Molecule: ribosomal RNA, 253 nt
Filed under: uncultured bacterium
Lineage: Bacteria
Description: partial 16S ribosomal RNA
Rfam family: Bacterial small subunit ribosomal RNA
Source: RNAcentral
UACGUAGGGUGCAAGCGUUAAUCGGAAUUACUGGGCGUAAAGCGUGCGCAGGCGGUUUUGUAAGACAGAGGUGAAAUCCCCGGGCUCAACCUGGGAACUGCCUUUGUGACUGCAAGGCUUGAGUGCGGCAGAGGGGGAUGGAAUUCCGCGUGUAGCAGUGAAAUGCGUAGAUAUGCGGAGGAACACCGACGGCGAAGGCAAUCCCCUGGGCCUGCACUGACGCUCAUGCACGAAAGCGUGGGGAGCAAACAGG